Myotis davidii is the source of this 74-nucleotide non-coding RNA. The record is from Rfam. Lineage: Eukaryota; Metazoa; Chordata; Mammalia; Chiroptera; Vespertilionidae.
GGCAGUUCUUGGUGACGCACCCUGGAAUCAGGCUUCUUCCUCUCUGGUUCCAGGUGUGUCACCUGAGAACUGCA